This 489-nucleotide ribosomal RNA is filed under the name Triticum aestivum (bread wheat). Its description in RNAcentral is "partial small subunit ribosomal RNA". Lineage: Eukaryota; Viridiplantae; Streptophyta; Magnoliopsida; Poales; Poaceae. The record is from RNAcentral.
AUGAUAUGCUUCUUUGCAGUCGAGUGGCACUUUGUAGACCGUGUGGCAAGACAAUUUGGAAAAAGACAAGGUAUUCCAAUUGAGGAGAGCAAGGAGGAAAUGCUAUCUCUGCAUCGGUUCGAUCGAAGGAACAAUCAGGAUAUAUCGGAUUGGGCAAACAAACACCGUGCGUGGAUAGAAAUUUGGAAUCAAAGAGACACGUUAGUGCAAUGAGAGAAUAGACCUCACAAUCAGUCAGCAUAUCAGAAGUACCAAGUGUGGUAUGCGGAUCGUUACCGGUUAAAACUGAAGCCAGGUUGGACUCACGAGGAGUGGUUGGAGUUGGUGUCUGAAGACCCGGAGACUGCAGAAGGUUAUCAUACCUUCAACACGGCUGUGAGAGACACCAGAGGGGCUCAUGUUGACUACGCACCGAUGCAUGAUGAAAUUGUAGUCUGUUUGACCUAUUCUAACAUACUUGCAUCAUGUUGUCUUCUUUCAAAUACAUAA